RNAcentral lists this ribosomal RNA (443 nucleotides) under uncultured bacterium. Its description in RNAcentral is "bacterial SSU rRNA". It matches the Rfam family "Bacterial small subunit ribosomal RNA", at positions 27 to 510 of the family's 1533-position model. The record is from RNAcentral.
AUNUUUCGGANGCNCGCUGGCGGCAGGCCUAACACAUGCAGUCGAGCGCCCCACUUGUGGGGAGCGGCGGACGGGUUAGUAACGCGUGGGAACGUGCCCUUUUCUGCGGAAUAGCCUCUGGAAACGGAGAGUAAUACCGCAUACGCCCUUUUGGGGAAAGAUUUAUCGGAGAAGGAUCGGCCCGCGUUAGAUUAGGUAGUUGGUGGGGUAAUGGCCUACCAAGCCUACGAUCUAUAGCUGGUUUGAGAGGAUGAUCAGCAACACUGGGACUGAGACACGGCCCANACUCCUACGGGAGGCAGCAGUGGGGAAUCUUAGACAAUGGGGGCAACCCUGAUCUAGCCAUGCCGCGUGAGUGAAGAAGGCCCUAGGGUCGUAAAGCUNUUUCGCCUGUGAUGAUAAUGACAGUAGCAGGUAAAGAAACCCCGGCUAACUCCNUGCCA